This is a non-coding RNA of Danio rerio (zebrafish), 72 nucleotides long. Lineage: Eukaryota; Metazoa; Chordata; Actinopteri; Cypriniformes; Danionidae. The record is from Rfam.
GGGGAAUUAGCUCAAAUGGUAAAGCGCUCGCUUUGGAUGCGAGAGCUAGCGGGAAAAUGCCUGCAUUCUCCA